Molecule: ribosomal RNA, 483 nt
Filed under: uncultured bacterium
Lineage: Bacteria
Description: bacterial SSU rRNA
Rfam family: Bacterial small subunit ribosomal RNA
Source: RNAcentral
AUUGAACGCUGGCGGCAUGCCUUACACAUGCAAGUCGAACGGCAGCACGGGAGCAAUCCUGGUGGCGAGUGGCGAACGGGUGAGUAAUAUAUCGGAACGUGCCCAGUCGUGGGGGAUAACGUAGCGAAAGCUACGCUAAUACCGCAUACGAUCUAUGGUUGAAAGCGGGGGAUCGCAAGACCUCGCGCGAUUGGAGCGGCCGAUAUCAGAUUAGGUAGUUGGUGAGGUAAAGGCUCACCAAGCCGACGAUCUGUAGCUGGUCUGAGAGGACGACCAGCCACACUGGGACUGAGACACGGCCCAGACUCCUACGGGAGGCAGCAGUGGGGAAUUUUGGACAAUGGGCGCAAGCCUGAUCCAGCAAUGCCGCGUGCAGGAUGAAGGCCUUCGGGUUGUAAACUGCUUUGUACGGAACGAAACGGUGAGCUCUAAUACAGUUUGCUAAUGACGGGACCGUAAGAAUAAGCACCGGCUAACUACGUG